This 484-nucleotide ribosomal RNA is filed under the name uncultured bacterium. RNAcentral's name for it is "partial 16S ribosomal RNA". It matches the Rfam family "Bacterial small subunit ribosomal RNA", at positions 30 to 507 of the family's 1533-position model. The record is from RNAcentral.
AUUGAACGCUGGCGGCAGGCCUAACACAUGCAGGUCGAGCGGAUGAAGGGAGCUUGCUCCUGGAUUCAGCGGCGGACGGGUGAGUAAUGCCUAGGAAUCUGCCUGGUAGUGGGGGAUAACGUCCGGAAACGGGCGCUAAUACCGCAUACGUCCUGAGGGAGAAAGUGGGGGAUCUUCGGACCUCACGCUAUCAGAUGAGCCUAGGUCGGAUUAGCUAGUUGGUGGGGUAAAGGCCUACCAAGGCGACGAUCCGUAACUGGUCUGAGAGGAUGAUCAGUCACACUGGAACUGAGACACGGUCCAGACUCCUACGGGAGGUAGCAGUGGGGAAUAUUGGACAAUGGGCGAAAGCCUGAUCCAGCCAUGCCGCGUGUGUGAAGAAGGUCUUCGGAUUGUAAAGCACUUUAAGUUGGGAGGAAGGGCAGUAAGUUAAUACCUUGCUGUUUUGACGUUACCAACAGAAUAAGCACCGGCUAACUUCGUG